GAGUUUGAUCAUGGCUCAGAACGAACGUUAGCGGCGCGCCUAACACAUGCAAGUCGCACGAGAAAGGGCUUCGGCCCCGGUACAGUGGCGCACGGGUGAGUAAUACGUGGAUAAUCUACCCUCGGGCGGGGGAUAACAUUCCGAAAGGAGUGCUAAUACCGCAUAGGACCACGGCUUCGAGAGAGGCUGAGGUGAAAGCAGGCCUCUAUAUAUAAGCUUGCACCUGAGAAUGAGUCCGCAUCCCAUCAGCUAGUUGGUAGGGUAAUGGCCUACCAAGGCGAAGACGGGUAGCUGGUCUGAGAGGAUGAUCAGCCACACUGGAACUGAGACACGGUCCAGACUCCUACGGGAGGCAGCAGUGGGGAAUCUUGCGCAAUGGACGAAAGUCUGACGCAGCGACGCCGCGUGAGUGAUGAAGGCCUUCGGGUUGUAAAGCUCUGUGGGGAGAGAAGAAUAAGUCGUGGCCAAUAUCCACGAUGAUGACGGUAUCUCCUUAGCGAGCACCGGCUAACUCUGUGCCAGCAGCCGCGGUAAUACAGAGGGUGCAAACGUUGUUCGGAAUUACUGGGCGUAAAGCGUGCGUAGGCGGUCUCGUAAGUCAGGUGUGAAAUCCCAAGGCUCAACCAUGGAAGUGCACUUGAUACUGCGAGGCUUGAGUACUGGAGAGGUUGGUGGAUUCUUGGUGUAGAGGUGAAAUUC
This 699-nucleotide ribosomal RNA is filed under the name uncultured bacterium. Its description in RNAcentral is "bacterial SSU rRNA". It matches the Rfam family "Bacterial small subunit ribosomal RNA", at positions 9 to 689 of the family's 1533-position model. The record is from RNAcentral.